GGUAGUGGGAGACAGUCAAACCUGGACGAGAGCCGGUCAAAGGAGGAACUUCUCACCUAACUGAACCGUCAUCAUGUCUCGCCUGUUGCUCUUCUCUCUCCUUGCAGUGGUGGUCGCCCGGGUCGCCGCUAAUGGUCAUGAUGUGGGUCAACCAGCCACGUUUGACUGUACUCAGGAUGGCUUCUUCGCUGACCACGGCCGCAACUGUGUUGUCUACUACCGCUGUGCCAACGGUGACAUGACCGCGUUCGGGUGUAACAAGGGACAUCUGUUUGACGAGACCAGCAGCAAGUGUCUCCCAGCCGACAGCGUCACCUGUUAGCAACAUUACCGUCAAACCCCAUCUGUCUCUUCGUCAUGUAAUCUGAAUCUUUACACCAGCUGUCUCCCCCUCUAUAUCACAUUAAAGAGGAGUCUACGCUAUCUUUCUCUCUCUAAAUCACGUUAGCAGAGGCUCUGCACAAGCUGUCUCUCUACGUCACAUUAGCAGAGGCUCCGCACCAGCUGCCUCUCCCUCUACGUCACGUUAGCAGAGGAUCUACAUCAGCUGUCCCUCCCUCUAUAUUACGUCAAAAAAGGCUCCGUACCAUCUUUCUCUUUCUCUGUCACUCAAAAUCUAAAUUCCCCAUAUUAUAGAGACAAUAAACUCUUAAAAACAAAUAAA
This is a long non-coding RNA of Homarus americanus (American lobster), 664 nucleotides long. RefSeq lists it as uncharacterized. The transcript has 3 exons. The record is from RefSeq and is a predicted model, not a curated record. NCBI's taxonomy places the organism in Eukaryota, Metazoa, Arthropoda, Malacostraca, Decapoda, Nephropidae.